Molecule: ribosomal RNA, 253 nt
Filed under: uncultured bacterium
Lineage: Bacteria
Description: partial 16S ribosomal RNA
Rfam family: Bacterial small subunit ribosomal RNA
Source: RNAcentral
UACGAAGGGGGCUAGCGUUGUUCGGAAUUACUGGGCGUAAAGCGCACGUAGGCGGACAUUUAAGUCAGGGGUGAAAUCCCGGGGCUCAACCCCGGAACUGCCUUUGAUACUGGGUGUCUAGAGUAUGGAAGAGGUGAGUGGAAUUCCGAGUGUAAAGGUGAAAUUCGUAGAUAUUCGGAGGAACACCAGUGGCGAAGGCGGCUCACUGGUCCAUUACUGACGCUGAGGUGCGAAAGCGUGGGGAGCGAACAGG